RNAcentral lists this transfer RNA (72 nucleotides) under Strongylocentrotus purpuratus (purple sea urchin). Its description in RNAcentral is "tRNA-Lys (TTT) (tRNA-Lys-TTT-14-1)". It matches the Rfam family "tRNA". Rfam says of the family: Transfer RNA (tRNA) molecules are approximately 80 nucleotides in length. Their secondary structure includes four short double-helical elements and three loops (D, anti-codon, and T loops). Further hydrogen bonds mediate the characteristic L-shaped molecular structure. tRNAs have two regions of fundamental functional importance: the anti-codon, which is responsible for specific mRNA codon recognition, and the 3' end, to which the tRNAs corresponding amino acid is attached (by aminoacyl-tRNA synthetases). tRNAs cope with the degeneracy of the genetic code in two manners: having more than one tRNA (with a specific anti-codon) for a particular amino acid; and 'wobble' base-pairing, i.e. permitting non-standard base-pairing at the 3rd anti-codon position. Lineage: Eukaryota; Metazoa; Echinodermata; Echinoidea; Camarodonta; Strongylocentrotidae. The record is from RNAcentral.
GCCCGGUUAGCUCAGUCGGUAGAGCAUCAGACUUUUAAUCUGAGGGUCAAGGGUUCAAGUCCCUAUUGGGCG